RNAcentral lists this long non-coding RNA (7078 nucleotides) under Triticum aestivum (bread wheat). RNAcentral's name for it is "long non-coding RNA (TAES_LNC013599)". Lineage: Eukaryota; Viridiplantae; Streptophyta; Magnoliopsida; Poales; Poaceae. The record is from RNAcentral.
UUUUUUUUUUUUGAGGGGUAUCACGCACACUAUUGGGAGUUGAGAGGGGAUGGAGGGAGGGGGUGAGCGGUUGGGCUGGGCUGGCUGGACCCUCCACCACGAGCCAAGAUUUGGAGCCGGAGAUUCGCUGCGAUUGCCAACUUGCUUUGCCCCGCACGCAUCGCUAGCCAGCCGGGAGGCCAUCCUCUGGGGGCGCUUUCUACAGUGUUCCGGCGGAGUGUCCAUUUUCAGGCUUCCGAGGGCGUCGACCGUCGAGGUUCGCUAGCAAUCAUACGACCUCCGGUCCCUGCAUGUGUCCUCGUUCGCCAUGUCGUUGCGUGUCUGCUUGGGUUCUUCCUGCGAUCAGUUGCACGCUUUCGUGGAUAUUUUGCUGAGGAAAGUAGUGGAAGUCUGGUCAGUGUUUUGGUAAUGGAACAUGUGCGCCUAGUGCUUGGGUUAAUUUAGCACCCCCAAAAUGUAGAAAGGUACCAAAUUUGCACCAACCAAACUGUGAAAUUCCAUAUCCAAAUUUGAUGCAAGAACAAGAUAAAAUCCUGUUAUUGGUAGUUAUAUUUCCCUCUAUCUGUAAAAACACAGCAUUUUAGACAAUGACCACCGUCUUUAACAUGCAAGUUUAAUAGUAGAAGCUUAAUUACAAGAACUAUAUCAUGGAUAAAAUUCAUGAAAAUCUCCUGCACCAUUCCCCACUAGACACCCUAAGUUCUUACACAUCGAGAUAGAGAAUUUCAAUGCACACUUUCUUAAAUGACAUCCAUUUCCGAAUAGAGGUGAUAGCGUGUAUGGAGUUGAGGUGAUGUAUUAUAAUACAACUAGAAUUUGUUAAUGUGUACUCCCUCGGUCCCAAAAUAAGUGUCUCAACAUAUUAUGUGUUUUGCUUCUUUUGGGAUGGAGGGAGUACAUCAUAUUAUAUGUUUUGCUUCUUUUGGAUGUGUGGGCCAAAUCUGUAUUUUAUGUGUUGUUGCAUGUUAUGAAUUAGAAUGUGAAAUAGGAAAAGGUACAGACACAAAUUCAAGUAUAUGUUGAGGAAUGGAGAAUACCAACUUGUUUGGUGGGAUCAUUUUAGUCUAUGAACUUGCAAAACGAUAUGAACUAGUCCCUAAACUUUCCAUGCAGAUUCAAUUCGACAAAAACAGUCUGAAUCGCACACAAGCCAUGCCAUAAAGGGCACACUCCCGUGGCUGUUUUUGUGUUGAAGCCGGAUGAAAUUAGUCAAAUGGGUCCUUAUUAAUAUGUGCUUGCCCGUGUAGAUAUUUUGUUUACGACCCAGGGGUUUAGGCAAUUCUCACUCCUAGUCCCCAAACCACAUGUCCCCCUCAAACUGUUCGUAACGACUGUGUAGAGUUGUCGUUUGCGAGCUGGCUGGCUGCUAAGCACACCAAAUGGAGCCACGACAUUGAGGAACAUGAGAUGAGCCGCCCGAUUACGAUAAGCUACAACUUGAUCUUGCUACCUAUUGGCCAAAAGGGUUUUGGGUGUAGAAAGUUGCUCGGUUUUUUUUUUUGCAUGAUUGGGCCUAAAACUAGACAAAUUUGGUGGUUGUAUGUUGGCAGUGACAUGGGACCUGUUUACAGAUGUACAUGACACUUCUCUCAUGCAGGUUAUCUACGGAUGUACAAGUACGCUCCGUUUGUGGUCGUCUCUACAACGUGUGGAGAAUCAAAACAUGUUUACGCAGGUGUGUACACGCUUGGAGAACACAGCAAUGGAUACUUUUGCCCGACAUGCAUGGCAACAUGGUCUUAGGAUUAGGCAUCAUACAGUCUUAUGAUUACUUGUAUUUCACUUUCUUUUCUUUCUGGGUUUGAACUUGGUUUAGUUGUGUGGAUCUUAGUUUUGCAGUGGCUGGGUGUAAUACUUAAACCUUUUAAGUAAUAAUGCGCUACUUAUCAAAAAAAGUAGUCGUACGAGAAAAGUGAUAGGAAUGAUAGAUUAGGGGUCGUGAUGAUUGUUGCCUUAGGUCCAUGGAUGGUUUGAGGGGGUAGUAGUGAUGGUUUGACUAGAAGAUAAGAGCCAUAAGUUAAUGUGUGUCUUCUAAGUUUGCUAAUGCGUUUGAUCAGAUGAUACCCACUCCUCCAUAGUUGGCGUGGUUCCUCUUCUCCAUCGGCGGUAGUGGUCAGGAACGGAGUCAGGAAAUGGUGAUAGGGGUGGGGGGCUUGAACUAGAAGUAUCGAUCACAAUUACACUCAUAUAUCAUCGUAACUAUCGGAAGGUCUAGUGGUCUAGAUUCCCAAAACAUGUUCGAUGUUCUACAAUAUGAAUAAAAUUUCAUCUCUAUUAAUCUGAAUUUGGCUCUACACCCACCAUGAUUAACGGUCUCAAUAAUUUAUUCUGAAGUAAAUUGGCUACUAGUUCCAGUUGGCUUGAAAAUGUUCUCAACUAAACUCUUCAUCUUCAUGUCUACAUAAGUAAAAUUGGAAUAUUUUUUAAAUAUUUUAUAAUUGUAGUUUAUAGUUUUGUAGUUUUUAAGACACACAACUAAACAAAAUUAAAUACAAAAAAUGAUGGUAGGAAUCAAGACUAAUUGUUAUCAUGUGUACACCCACUACGACUAAUAUGUUUGAGGAAACCGUCUCCCCUAUCGGCCUACCAUAAGCCGUCUGCACGAAAGCUAGGCGUGUGCGUCGUAACUCGGUGUCCACAAGCACCGAGUGGACGAGCUGAAGGCCAACGGCGGAAGACCGAACAUGAUGACCAAUCACAUAGCUGGUUGGUUUCUCUAUUUUACACUAUGUGUAUGGGAGAGGAUUUGUGGCACGCAUGGGAUAGGGGCACACAUAUCUAGGGCCACUCGAUUGUCUUAUGAUUCGCAAAUUGGAUUGGUCUUCCGCAUGUGUUUAAGGCGUAAGGGGUCCACAAAUACAUCGUUUGGAAGAGAGUGCAUGGCUCACUCGUCCCACCUCCCAUGCUUGUUUUACUUGUAAAUUUGAAUCUAUUAUAUGUUUCGCACAAAAUUCCAAUUUAUAUUUUGUUUGCAUAUUUGUGUUCAUUGUGACGAAGGUAUUGAAAUAAGGCCCAUUUUGAAUAUGUUUUGACACGGUUUUGUAAAUUUUAUUAGGUUUGCAUUGCUGAAACUUAGUUGAAAUGAACGAUAAAAUCAAUAAGUUUUGGAACUCAAACUUUAAACCAAGUGGGGCUCCAACGUUUUGAAAAGUUUUAAAAGCUUUAGUAAGUUUCUAAAAAGCAAAUGAAAUUUGGUACAACUUUGUAAAACCUUACGACUAUCAAGUUUUAUAUUCUAAACUUGGUAAAAAAAAUUAAAAAUAAAGGUGUUGGAAUUUAUUUAAAUUGUGUAUUAUUUGAAUGUACUCGUUAUAACAAUCAUGAAUAUGCGAAUGAAACUUGAUUUGGACUUCGGAAGAUACAACAGAUUCAAGUUUUAAGAUAAAGAUGAAAAGCUAUGGGAAGUGGGAGAGUGACAAAUAACGAGUGCACUUUAAGCAAAUGGGUCGCCGUAUGUGUGCCACUGCGAGUUAUAGCUAUGUGGAUUAAUAGUUAAUGGGCUUUUGGAAUAUUCCACCACCCUACUUGGAAGGGAGUGGCAAUAGCCUGUCUUUUUGAAGAAAAAAAUCAGAACAAAAAAACCAGUAAAAGGAAAGAACUAGAAAGCAAAAAAAAAUCAACAAGAAUGAGAAAAAAUAUAAUCAGAACCAAUGAACUGAGUCGAUCCAUUUUCCCUCAUUGUGGGCGUAGCCUUGCUUAGUUGACUCACAUAUCAUGUAUUUAAAAAUGUUAAAUGUGUGUAGAGAAAUAUUCAAGAUGUAAAAAUAUGUACAGCACUAAUGAAAAAAUUAGACAUGUGCUGACACAAGAGAAAAAUAAUUUUAAAAUGCAAUAAAGAAUAAGAAACAAAAAACCGAAGGGAAGAAAGAAAAAAAGGAAAAUCUGAAGAAAGCCAAAAAAGACAAAGAAAGCCGAUGCAAACUAGUGAACAGACUGGUAAGAAAAAACAAAAAGCUUGUCCGUAGCUACAGUAUUGGGCCGACCCAAAGACUGUUGCAAUGUAGGCGAGUUGUAAUAGGAAUUAGUACGGGCGGCGUAUAGGGGAGCUCAGAGAGCAACUAAUCGGCGGGGCCCUCGUCAGCUCCCAGUGUGCCACCACGUGUGUCGCGCUGUGUGCAUCCCGCGGGAGCAUGUUUUUUGUUUUCUGCAUGUGUUCUUUUUUUUGUCUUUUACCUUGCUUUGCUAGAAUUUGGUGAGAAAUUUGUUGUUUUUUUUCGAAGAACAGUUUUUUUUUUUGCAAGAAAAACUUUCAAUCUAUUCCUCUUCAACCAUGGUACAACAAACACUAGAAAUAAUAAAAAUUACAUCCAGAUCCGUAGACCACAUAGCGACGACUACAAGCACUGAAGCGAGCCGAAGGCGCGCCGCUGUCAUCGCCUCUCCCUUGCCGGAGCCGGGCAAACGUUGUUGUAGUAGACAGUCGGGAAGUCGUCGUGCUAAGGCCCCGUAGAACCAACGCAUCAGAACAGCAACCGUCGUAGAUGAAGAGUGUAGAUCAAAAGGAUCCAACUUGAAGACACACGAACGAAGACGAACGACGAACAGAUCCGAGCAAAUCCACCAAAGACAGAUCCGCCGGAGACACACCUCCACACGCCCACCGAUGAUGCUAGACGCAUCACCGGAACGGGGCUAGGCGGGGAGACCUUUAUUCCAUCUUCAGGGAGCCGCCGCCGUCUCGCCUUUCUGAGUAGGACAUAAACCCUAACAAAGCUAAAAAAAAGAUCUAAAAGCGGAGCCCUCCCACCGGCAAGGGCCGAGAUCCACUCCGUCUCCAUGGCCCUAAGGCCACCAGAGACGGGACGGACCGGUGCCAGCGGGAGGCAGAGAACCCUAGAUCUUGGGCCGCUGCGUUUGCUGAGACGCGCCCUCCUCCUCCGCCCGGGGUUGAAGGUAACGCACUCGUCACCCAAACAAUGAAGGAAAGCUUUUUUCGAAGAACAGUUGUGCUUCUAAAAAAACAUAGUUUGUGCUUUCAUGAGUGUGCUUUUCAAAAAGGGGAAAACAUAAUUGUGCAUUCCAAAUAAGGGAAAAGCACAAUCUAUCUUCUACAGAAAGCACAUCUAGUGCUUCCCCGAAAAAAAAGAAAAACACAGCAUGUGCUUUCAAAAAGAAGUGAAAACCGGAAUCAUCCUUUCAGGUUAUGAUUUCUUUCUUGUGGUUUUUAUUCGUUUUUCUGGUUUUUUUAUUCCAAUUUCUCUUAAAAAAGAUAGUUCAAACAUAUAAAUUAUUUUGAACAAAAAAUCUAUGAAAAAAGAGAAAACUCCUAUAUUGCGACAAAGUGGUGCACAUGCUGCAUGCCACUUGUCAGGAGCAGAGAAGGUGGGUAAUGGCCUUUGCAAGGACGAACCCUUAAGUAGUGAUUUUGCUAUUAUACGCGUCACGCGGUAGAAAGCGAGCAAUUGCGCACCCCUCUACUCGUCAGAGCUCUUUGGGUCGGCCCAUGUGCGGAUCGGGGCGGCCGUUUUUUCAUCUUAUUGUUUUUAUUUAUUUAUCCUCUUUUAAUAUAAAAAAUGUUCAUGAAUCCCGAAUUCAGAAAAAAAGUUUGGUAUUUCAAUAGAAGUAAUGAAAUUCGAAAAAUGUUUACAAAUUCCAAAUUCAACUAAUUAGUCAGGAUUUCAGAAAAACUUAUGAAAAUAAAAAUGUUUGCAAAUCACAAAUUAAAAAAAAUGUUUGGGAUUUCAAAAAAUGAAAUUAAUUUUUUCCAUGAUUUUUAAAAAUGUUCUCGAAAUUCAAAAUUUCUGAAAAACUGUCUAGGAUUUCAAAAAAUAUUCCUAAAUUUCACCAAUUUGAAGAAAUGAUCCUGUUUUUUGUAACAUGCUCAUGAAUUUGAAAAUAUGAUCUUGGAUUUAUGAAAAAUGUUCACGAACUUGAGAAAUAUUCAUGGUUUCAAAAUAUAUUCCUUGAGGUAAAAAAUGUUCACAGACUUGCAAAACGUUCUCAAAGUUUAGAAAACAUUAAUGAACUUUAAAGCUGUUCCCAUAUUUCAAAAAAAUCACGAAUUUAAAAUUUUAUUUCCAUAUUUCCGAAAAUUUUAAUGAAAAUGUAAAGAGCAAAAAAAAUAAAGGAAAGAAGAAGAGAAAACCGAAAAAAAUAAUGAAAAGAGUAAAAAAAAGGGUUUUGGAGAAAUAGAGAAGAUACGAAAUGGGCCAGCCCAGUACUGCAGGCGUGAAAGCUCGUUUAGUCGCUAUCCCCCGACCUGCGCGGGGAAUAGGAUCCGACGACAUCUAGCUCUACGGACGGACGGUGAGUCCGAUUUGCGGCACGGCAUUGGAGAUGCCCUCAGUCAUUUCUCCCUUUUUCAUCGUAUAUAGAACAUCUUCGCAGAGAAUCCUCUGGGAAAAAUCUUAUUUGACAAAAAACAGGUUGAGUGGGCGUUAGUCGGCAGAUACCCAGAAAUAUUUCCUCUAAAUUAUAAUCACCCGUUGUUUAUAAAUUGCUCGCUGAAUGCUGAUUCCACUCUAAUGUUUUAAUUUUGAUGAGCCGCGCGCCCUGAAAGCGUCGAGAAAUCAUCAACCACCGUGGCACGCACGUCGUGUGCAGGUGCAUUGACAUUCUAGCUCGAGCUACUAUCCGCGCGGGAGCCGGACACCACGAGUAGGCUACGCUGCUGCACCACGGACGCCGUCUGCCGGUGGCUAGAGCUUGGAACUGAAUCUACAGUCAUGCACCGGCCAGCAGAGAGAAGACAUGUUACUGAUGUAGGAGUGCAUGAAAACAUGGACAAGAUCCACACAAAUGGAGAUGCCAUAUCGACAUCAUCAACGUACAAAACAGCCACCGCAACUAAUCACAACUCUCACUAAUGGCACACAGUACAAAUCAGGUCCCGAUUAUUUCGCCACCACCAGCAGCACGAACUCAUCUAGUAGUACAUCUCCGCGUCCGGCGCGGCGCACGCGGAUCACGGGGCCGGCACGAACGGCCCCGCAGCUUAUUGCUACCAACCACACACGAUGACGAAGAGGCCGGCGUACAGCUUACUCGAUCUUACUCCUCGGCGGCGGUGCCAUCGGCGGGGCAGCGGUCGACGACGGCCUCGAGCUUGUAGGGCGCGGCGUCGGUGGCGAGCCACUGC